GCCUGUAAACAAGGAAGCCACCUGGGGGAGACUCAGGGCGGCCACUGGUCCUGGGGAGCAGGUGCUUCCUGAGGCCCGCCCUGCAGAGGGCCCUAGGGGGCAGCCGGGCCGAUUCGGCAGCUGCCAUUAGGGGGCGCUGUCUACUGGCUUCCCGAACCCACUGCUUCCUACCACGGCUCCUGGGGGAGUGGCCACCGGAGGGUGUGCCGGCCCUGCUGGCCCGCCCUCCUUCCCUUCUUUCUGUCCCCAAGGCAGACUGGCCAAGGGCACCAUCCCUGGCAGAGAGGACGCGAGGAUCAGCCUGGCCAGCUUGGGUGUGAGUUCAUUCCCCCCGGACCACCGAUUCGCAGUUCCUGCACCUCCCCGCAAGACUCAUUGGUUGGGGGGCAGGCUCCGAGGCCACCGGGCUCCAGGCUGCCCUUGGCGCUGCCCCCCUGGCGCCAGGGAAACAAAAGGUGCAGAGGCAGGUGCCUGCAGCUCACCUCCCCUGUGUGGCCUGAUCUUACAGCUCUGACCCGUGACCUGCUUCCUCCCUGGCUUCUGCAUAGGGAUAGAAGCCCAGAUGUGGUCUACCCCACUUCCCUCACCAGAUCCUCUGGCUUCUCAUCCCUGCCUGGGACCAGAACUGUUCAUGGCUCCCAGAGGGCCAGAGCUGCAGAGACCUCACAUGGAGACCACAGAGUGCUGUGGAACCCUUGCUCAAAUAAAAAUUUCCACGAAUAUCCA
Molecule: long non-coding RNA, 726 nt
Organism: Galeopterus variegatus (Sunda flying lemur)
Lineage: Eukaryota; Metazoa; Chordata; Mammalia; Dermoptera; Cynocephalidae
Exons: 2
Source: RefSeq, a predicted model, not a curated record